Callorhinus ursinus (northern fur seal) is the source of this 794-nucleotide long non-coding RNA. RefSeq lists it as uncharacterized. Lineage: Eukaryota; Metazoa; Chordata; Mammalia; Carnivora; Otariidae. The record is from RefSeq and is a predicted model, not a curated record.
CGGCGGGGCGGGGCUGCCAAGACGCCGUCCCCGGCCCUGGGGGACAGUACAGGCGCAGCGCGGGGCCGCUGGGGCCCCCUCCACUCUGUGCCGGGAGGAGGCCGGGGACGGAGGUGCCGUGGACAGAGGCCUGUGGAGCCUGAGAAGAGGCUCCUCGGGGUCAUAGGCCAGGACUGGCUGGCCCACCUGGACACAGGGAGAAGGGGAAGGAGCUCCCUGGCCCCGCAGACUGUUGCGAGUUGGGCCUCCUCUCUCCUGCUUUUUCUUCCAAACUAGAAGAAAGGGACUUGAGUUCCACCUGCUGGCCGUUCCUGAGGAAACACACGGAACUGAAACCAGGCAUCUUGCCGUGGCUCAGGAGAGCUGUGUGCUCCUCAGAUGCGGCCCUUGAGACCCCUGGAGGUGUUACUGGCUGGCCAGUGGCAGGAGGGCUUUGCGCCAGGCGACCACCUUGCCAGCUCUGGGCCCAAGACCGUGCACAGAAAAUUCUAGAAGGAGGAGGGAGUACGGCAGACUCAGAGAGGAGCCCCGUGUCUGCCCCACGCCCACUCAGCUAGAGGCAGGGCCCGGAAGGUGCAUUUCAACAAGCUCACCCCAGAACGUGAGGCCACAGCUCGACGACCCGUUGGCACGCGCCUCCCCCACCUCCCCCCAUGCGGGUCUCUGCCUGCACAUUCCUCAGAGGUCUUUCCCACCCCCUGCUCUGACAAAGAAAAAGGCCAUGGUGGGUCUAGGCAGGUCCUGUGUGCACCGUCCGGGAAACACUUCUACUACAACGUGAAGCUGAAAUUUAA